GUGAGGAAUCUUCCACAAUGGGCGAAAGCCUGAUGGAGCAACGCCGCGUGAAGGAUGAAGGUCUUCGGAUUGUAAACUUCUUUUAUGAGUGAAGAAUAUGACGGUAACUCAUGAAUAAGCACCGGCUAACUACGUGCCAGCAGCCGAGGUCAUACGUAGGGUGCAAGCAUUAUCCGGAGUGACUGGGCGUAAAGAGUUGCGUAGGCGGUUAUGUAAGCGAAUAGUGAAACCUGGUGGCUCAACCACACAGACUAUUAUUCGAACUGCAUAACUCGAGAAUGGUAGAGGUAACUGGAAUUUCUUGUGUAGGAGUGAAAUCCGUAGAUAUAAGAAGGAACACCAAUGGCGUAGGCAGGUUACUGGGCCAUUUCUGACGCUAAGGCACGAAAGCGUGGGGAGCAAACAGGAUUAGAUACCCUUGUAGUCC
Molecule: ribosomal RNA, 427 nt
Filed under: uncultured bacterium
Lineage: Bacteria
Description: partial 16S ribosomal RNA
Rfam family: Bacterial small subunit ribosomal RNA
Source: RNAcentral